Molecule: long non-coding RNA, 1890 nt
Organism: Homo sapiens (human)
Lineage: Eukaryota; Metazoa; Chordata; Mammalia; Primates; Hominidae
Source: Ensembl
GGAAGCAGAGCUGAGGAAGGCAGCCACUGCCCACCCAUGGCUAAGCAGGGAGAAAUGAAUACCUCAACCUCACUUUCCCCCUACCCCAAGUCUCCCAGCAAGUCUCCUACCAGAAGGCAGAGGGCAGGGCAGCUCUUUGACACAAUCCACAAAGAUCAGCCCUUCUGGAGCUCAGAGCUAUUACAGAGAAGCCUGGAGAGUGUGUCAAGACAGCUUUUCUCCAGGUGGUGUGACGCUGCUGCUAAUAAUGGUGAUGACAUCAAAACUGCCAAGGGCCUUAGAAAUCUGCUGGUCCAGCACGAAGCAGGGAGAUCACCAAAAAGGGGAGGCAGAGCUGGAAGAGAACACAGCUGUCCUGCCAUCCAGGUGCUCCAUUAUGCCUGAAAGGUUAACUUCACCACCAAAGCCCAAGAAGAGGUUUUCUUCGCCAAAGAUGGGGAAGUGCUGACAACGUUUGACAUUAAAAACAUCUAUGUUCUCCCAGACCUGUCAGGACAGACAGCCAUUGUUGGACACUUUGACUUCAGAGCACCUUCUGGAAAAGAGCUUCUGUUGGAUGACAGCGCAAUUGUCUGGGCAGAAGGACCCUUAAAGAUUAGAGCUGAGAGAACCCUAAGAACCAAGACCACACAGCACCUCUCACAUCCCAAGCUCCAGGAGAAUCGCUUGAACCCGGGAGGCGGAGGUUGCAGUGAGCCAAGAUUGUGCCACUGAACUCCAGCCUGGGUGACAGAGUGAGGUCCUGUCUCAAAAAAACAAACAAACAAAAAAUACAUAUUAUUACUACAACUUGAGUAUCCCUUAUCCGAAUUGCUUGGGACCAGAAGUGUUUUGGAUUUCAGAUUUUUUCAGAUUUUGAAAUAUUUGCAUAUGCAUAAGGAAAUAUCUUGGGGAUAGGAUCCAAGUCUAAAUAUGAAAUUCAUUUAUGUUUCAUAUACCACUUAUACACAUAGUCUGAAGGUAAUUUUUUACAAUAUUUUUAACUAUAUCAUGCAUGAAACAAAGUUUGUUUAUGUCAAGUCAGGUGUGGAAUUUUCCACUUGAGGCAUCAUGUUGGCACUCAAAAAGUUUUGGAUUUUGGAGCAUUCCAGAUUUCAGAUUUUCAAAUUAGGGAUGCCCCAUCUAUAUCUCCAUUUUAUUGAAGAGGAAUCUGAAGCUUAGAGAUGUUAAGCCCAAGGCACGCAAACCAUAAAGGGCAGAACCAGAAUUCCAACCAUCAAGAUGUCUUGUUUUCCCACCACACUCGAAAUCCGGAAGAGCUUAUUCUUACCUAUCACUGUUUCCCUAACACCCUGUACAGUACCUGAUAUACGGAACACAUUUUUAAUUAUCUGAGCAAGAAAUGGAGAAAGAGGAAAAUGAAAGAGAGUAGAAAAGGAAAACGUGAUAAAGAGGGGUUUAAUAAAGGAAGGAGUAAGAGAAAGAAAGAGAGAGAGGGACCUAGUAAGUGAAAACGAUGAGGCUUAUUCCUCCACGACCUGACUGCACAGAUGUCGCUCAAUUCCCCCUGCAGUCUCCCCAGCACUCUCUCCCCUCCACUCUCCCACCUCUUGUGUGUAGGUCCCUUCCUCUGUCUGCAACGAAAAACGUCCUGUGGAAACCAGGAAGUCAACCCUAUUUGAGAAGUCAAAAUGCUGCUACAAAAGCCUUCCCUGACCCAGAAGAGAAAUCGCAAUGUCACCAGGUAAGGAGGGAGGCUGGUUCUUGGUCAGAGGGUGGCCAGCCAUCAGCCAGAGUAGACUUCAGAUGAAAGCUGUGUCCACAUCAAGGAAAUUCCUUCAAUGGAAAAGUCCAGGGAAGUCGAGACCAAAAAGAAGAUGUCAAUGUGACCUUCCUAGAUGCUACAUUAAAGCCAUUUGAGGCUAUUAAAUUCAUUCUUUCUUUUAUCAA